UACGUAGGGGGCCAGCGUUGUUCGGAAUUACUGGGUGUAAAGGGUUCGUAGGCGGUGUGGCAAGUUGGGAGUGAAAUCUCUGGGCUCAACCCAGAGACGGCUUCCAAAACUGCCGUGCUUGAGUGUGGGAGAGGCUCGUGGAAUUGCAGGUGUAGCGGUGAAAUGCGUAGAUAUCGUAAGGAAGACCAGUGGCGAAGGCGGGUCUCUGGACAGUUCCUGACGCUGAGGCACGAAGGCCAGGGGAGCAAACGGG
Molecule: ribosomal RNA, 253 nt
Filed under: uncultured bacterium
Lineage: Bacteria
Description: partial 16S ribosomal RNA
Rfam family: Bacterial small subunit ribosomal RNA
Source: RNAcentral